Molecule: long non-coding RNA, 360 nt
Filed under: Pan troglodytes (chimpanzee)
Lineage: Eukaryota; Metazoa; Chordata; Mammalia; Primates; Hominidae
Description: long non-coding RNA NONPTRT007278
Source: RNAcentral
CGUAGUUUCGCUCUUGUUGCCCAGGCUGGAGUGCAAUGGCACGAUCUCGGCUCACAGCAACCUCCACCUCCCGGGUUCAAGCCAUUCUCCUGCCUCAGCCUCUGGAGUAGCUCAGGCUGGUCUCGAACUCCCGACCUCAGGUAUCUGCCUGCCUCGGCCUCCCAAAGUGCUGGGAUUACAGGCAUGAGCCACCACGCCUCCAACCACUGUUUUCUGUAGGCUCCACAGAUUUCAAGCAACAAAUAAAAAUGCCUUUAACCCUUGCUGUCCCCACAUUUAAACAUAUAGUUUUUUUCUACUCCAUGUUAGCCUUUGAGAGAAUCACUGUCUCUUAGAAUUUUUGAUUCUGGUCACAAACUC